Long non-coding RNA from Canis lupus familiaris (dog), 468 nucleotides. RefSeq lists it as uncharacterized. The record is from RefSeq and is a predicted model, not a curated record. The transcript is spliced from 3 exons. Lineage: Eukaryota; Metazoa; Chordata; Mammalia; Carnivora; Canidae.
CACUUUAAAGGACCCUUGUGGUUACAUUGGACCUACCCAGAUACUCCAGGAACAUCUUCCUAUUUAAGUUCUGGAGCCUGGAAGUCUGAGAUCAAGGUGUCUGUGGAGUUGGUUUCUUAUGAGGUCAACAGGGGAAGCUCCGUGACAGGCUUCGCUCCUUGGCUGUUUGUCUUUGCUGAGAAGUAUGGAGUGACACCGAGCUGGCUUCCUGCCACUACUUAAGAUCACGGGCAGAGUGUCAUGUGAGGUUGGAGCACAAGAGAACCAGUGUGACAUUGCCAGGAUAACAGAUCAAAGCUUUCCUCUCAGGGUGACCUGACAACAGUAGACCAGGACUUACUGGAGUUACCAAGAAACAACACACAGUCAUCACCCCUCUCUGUGUGCAAACAAUGAGAACAAGUCAACUGGUAGUUCUCAUUACCAUUUUAAGCUCACAAGGAAUAUAUGAACAUAAAUAAUUAUAAA